CUCUGUGACUCCUACGGGAGGCAGCAGUCGGGGAAUAUUGCACAAUGGGGGAAACCCUGAUGCAGCCAUGCCGCGUGUGUGAAGAAGGCCUUCGGGUUGUAAAGCACUUUCAGUAGGGAGGAAGGUAGUGUAGUUAACACCUGCACUAUUUGACGUUACCUACAGAAGAAGCACCGGCUAACUCCGUGCCAGCAGCCGCGGUAAUACGGAGGGUGCGAGCGUUAAUCGGAAUUACUGGGCGUAAAGCGCAUGCAGGCGGCCUGUUAAGUCAGAUGUGAAAGCCCCGGGGCUUAACCUCGGAAUUGCAUUUGAAACUGGCAGGCUAGAGUCUUGUAGAGGGGGUAGAAUUUCAGGUGUAGCGGUGAAAUGCGUAGAGAUCUGAAGGAAUACCAGUGGCGAAGGCGGCCCCCUGGACAAAGACUGACGCUCAGAUGCGAAAGCGUGGGGAGCAAACAGGAUUAGAUACCCUGGUAG
This 474-nucleotide ribosomal RNA is filed under the name uncultured bacterium. Its description in RNAcentral is "bacterial SSU rRNA". It matches the Rfam family "Bacterial small subunit ribosomal RNA", at positions 328 to 793 of the family's 1533-position model. The record is from RNAcentral.